UACGUAGGGGCUAGCGUUAUCCGGAAUUACUGGGCGUAAAGGGUGCGUAGGUGGUUUCUUAAGUCAGAGGUGAAAGGCUACGGCUCAACCGUAGUAAGCCUUUGAAACUGGGGAACUUGAGUGCAGGAGAGGAGAGUGGAAUUCCUAGUGUAGCGGUGAAAUGCGUAGAUAUUAGGAGGAACACCAGUUGCGAAGGCGGCUCUCUGGACUGCAACUGACACUGAGGCACGAAAGCGUGGGGAGCAAACAGGAUUAGAUACCCCGGUAGUCCCUGAG
This 276-nucleotide ribosomal RNA is filed under the name uncultured prokaryote. RNAcentral's name for it is "partial 16S ribosomal RNA". It matches the Rfam family "Bacterial small subunit ribosomal RNA", at positions 524 to 801 of the family's 1533-position model. The record is from RNAcentral.